GAUGAACGCUAGCGGCAGGCUUAAUACAUGCAAGUCGAGGGGCAGCACGGUUAGCAAUAACUGGUGGCGACCGGCGCACGGGUGCGUAACACGUAUACAAUCUACCUUAAACAGGGGGAUAGCCUUUCGAAAGAGAGAUUAAUACCCCGUAAUAAAUUGAACGGCAUCGUUUGAUUUUGAAAGCUCCGGCGGUUUGAGAUGAGUAUGCGUCUGAUUAGCUAGUUGGUGAGGUAACGGCUCACCAAGGCGACGAUCAGUAGGGGAUCUGAGAGGACUAACCCCCACACUGGUACUGAGACACGGACCAGACUCCUACGGGAGGCAGCAGUAAGGAAUAAUUGGUCAAUGGAGGGCAACUCUGAACCAGCCAUGCCGCGUGCAGGAUGACGGCCCCUAUGGGUUGUAAACUGCUUUAUUACAAGAGAAACCCUAGGUACGUGUACCAGGUUGAUAGUAUUGUAAGAAUAAGCAUCGGCUAACUUCGUGCCAGCAGCCGCGGUAAU
This 503-nucleotide ribosomal RNA is filed under the name uncultured bacterium. RNAcentral's name for it is "bacterial SSU rRNA". It matches the Rfam family "Bacterial small subunit ribosomal RNA", at positions 28 to 524 of the family's 1533-position model. The record is from RNAcentral.